Cucurbita moschata (crookneck pumpkin) is the source of this 1120-nucleotide RNA transcript. It is a transcript of the gene named DDRGK domain-containing protein 1-like, with no coding region annotated. The transcript has 10 exons. The record is from RefSeq and is a predicted model, not a curated record. Lineage: Eukaryota; Viridiplantae; Streptophyta; Magnoliopsida; Cucurbitales; Cucurbitaceae.
UUGGCCAGUCUUCCGCCUUCCUCUUCGUUAUUGUUUGUUUUGUUCAUUCUGAUCGGCGAUCUUCACUUCUGAAGCGCCAAUUUCUGGGUGUAUAGAAGUUGGAAGUUGGAAGAUGGAGGAAUUUAUUGUGGCAGUUCUCUCGAUGCUGCUUGUUUUUGCGUUGGUUCCUCUGUUUCUGUGGAGACGCUAUCAGGACUCCCGCUCAGAUCAUGCACAUGAAGAUGAGGAUCAGGUUCCUCAGAGAGAAACUGUGGUUCGGGCCACUGCUGGUGGCCGUCGAAUGCGUCGGAGACCUGCUACGGCUGCUAGUUCGUCGAAUGCAGGGCCAUCUCUGGAAGAAAGUGCGGAUGGAAGUGAUGAAGAAAUGGCGGAUGAAUACAAUGAAGGUCGAGUGUCAAAGAAGAAAGAAAAGAAGCGACAGGAGCGCGAGGCACAGAGACAGGCCGAACAAGCUUCCCGCGACUCAAGGUGGACAAAACAAGACCGUUAUGCAGAAAUGCGGAGGAAGAAGGAUGAGGAACGUGAGGAGCAGGAACGGUUACUGGAAGAAGAAGCCAAGGCACGGAAGGUCAAGGAGGAAGAGGCUGCUUCACUUGAGUUUGAGAAGUGGAAAGGGGAAUUUUCAGUCGAUGCUGAAGGUACGACGGAAGCUGAUGUCGAAGGCGGAAAUCAAGAUUUGCUCUCUACUUUUGUGGAAUAUAUAAAGAAUCAUAAAUGUGUCCCAUUGGAAGAUCUUGCUGCAGAAUUUAAAUUAAGAACUCAGGAAUGUAUUAAUCGGAUCACCUCCCUCGAGAGCAUGGGCCGACUCUCUGGUGUUAUGGAUGAUAGAGGCAAAUACAUAUACAUAUCAAAGGAUGAAAUGCAAGCAGUUGCUGACUACAUCAAGCGUCAAGGAAGGGUUAGCAUUUCACAUUUAGCUAGUAAGUCCAACCAGUUCAUUGAUUUGGAACCAAAAACCCAAUUGGUUGAGGACAUCAAUGCUGAGGAGGUAACUGUCCCUUAAUAUACUUGUUAAUUUUGGAGAGAAAUGUUACAUGAAAUAAUCAUAAUCAUAAUCAUAAUCAACUAGUAUAUAAUUUUCCCAAUGAUCGUUCACGUUGAUUGCGGGUGGCUGUCGAUA